UACGAAGGGGGCGAGCGUUGUUCGGAUUUACUGGGCGUAAAGGGUGCGUAGGCGGCGCGGUAAGUCGGGUGUGAAAUCUCGGAGCUUAACUCCGAAACUGCAUUCGAUACUGCCGUGCUUGAGGACUGGAGAGGAGACUGGAAUUUACGGUGUAGCGGUGAAAUGCGUAGAUAUCGUAAGGAAGACCAGUGGCGAAGGCGGGUCUCUGGACAGUUCCUGACGCUGAGGCACGAAGGUCAGGGGAGCAAACGGG
This 253-nucleotide ribosomal RNA is filed under the name uncultured bacterium. RNAcentral's name for it is "partial 16S ribosomal RNA". It matches the Rfam family "Bacterial small subunit ribosomal RNA", at positions 524 to 776 of the family's 1533-position model. The record is from RNAcentral.